Molecule: ribosomal RNA, 1981 nt
Filed under: Clostridioides difficile
Lineage: Bacteria; Bacillati; Bacillota; Clostridia; Peptostreptococcales; Peptostreptococcaceae
Description: bacterial LSU rRNA
Rfam family: Bacterial large subunit ribosomal RNA
Source: RNAcentral
AGGGGGUAUUGCACCUACCGAAGACUAUCAAACUCCGAAUGCCGUCAUCUUAUACUUGGGAGUCAGACUGUGGGUGAUAAGAUUCAUAGUCGAAAGGGCAACAGCCCAGAUCGUCAGCUAAGGUCCCUAAAUGUAAGUUAAGUGGUAAAGGAUGUGGGAUUGCACAGACAACCAGGAUGUUGGCUUAGAAGCAGCCACUCAUUCAAAGAGUGCGUAAUAGCUCACUGGUCGAGUGAUCCUGCGCCGAAGAUUUCCGGGGCUAAAACUUACUACCGAAGCUACGGCAUCAGUAAUGAUGGGUAGGGGAGCUUCCCAUACGGGUUGAAGCAUGACCGUAAGGACAUGUGGACAGUAUGGGAGUGAGAAUGUUGGCAUGAGUAGCGAGAUGUGGGUGAGAAUCCCACAGGCCGUAAACCCAAGGUUUCCAGGGGAAGGUUCGUCCGCCCUGGGUUAGUCGGGACCUAAGCUGAGGCCGAAAGGCGUAGGUGAUGGACAACAGGUUGAUAUUCCUGUACUACCGAUAACCGUUUGAGAGAAGGGAUGACACAGUAGGAUAAGCUAAGCACACUGUUGGUUAUGUGUGCCCAAGCAUUGAGGCAGUCAAAGUAGGCAAAUCCGCUUUGAUAAUGCUGGGAUGUGAUGGGGAGCGAAAUUUAGUAGCGAAGUAGCUGAUUUCACACUGUCAAGAAAAGUCUCUAUCGAGGUUAAAGGUACCCGUACCGCAAACCGACACAGGUGGGUGAGGAGAGUAUCCUAAGGCCAGCGAGAGAACUGUUGUUAAGGAACUCGGCAAAAUGACCCCGUAACUUAGGGAUAAGGGGUGCCACCAUCAGGUGGCCGCAGAGAAUAGGCCCAAGCGACUGUUUACCAAAAACAUAGGUUUCUGCUAAGUCGCAAGACGAUGUAUAGGAGCUGACGCCUGCCCGGUGCUGGAAGGUUAAGGGGAUCUGUUAGAGCAAUCGAAGCAGUGAACUUAAGCCCCAGUAAACGGCGGCCGUAACUAUAACGGUCCUAAGGUAGCGAAAUUCCUUGUCGGGUAAGUUCCGACCCGCACGAAAGGCGUAACGAUUUGGGCACUGUCUCAACAACAGACUCGGUGAAAUUGUAAUUCCGGUGAAGAUGCCGGAUACCUGCGACAGGACGGAAAGACCCCAUGGAGCUUUACUGUAGCUUGACAUUGGGUCUUGGUACUACAUGUACAGGAUAGGUGGGAGGCUUUGAAACCAGGACGCCAGUUUUGGCGGAGCCAUCCUUGGGAUACCACCCUUGUAGUACUGGGACUCUAACCAUAGGCCAUGAAUCUGGUCUUGGGACACUGUCAGGUGGGCAGUUUGACUGGGGCGGUCGCCUCCCAAAAGGUAACGGAGGCGCUCAAAGGUUCUCUCAGUACGGUCGGAAAUCGUACGUAGAGUGUAAAGGCAAAAGAGAGCUUGAUUGCAAGACAUACAGGUCGAGCAAGGAUGAAAAUCGGACUUAGUGAUCCGGUGGUUCUGCGUGGAAGGGCCAUCGCUCAACGGAUAAAAGCUACCCUGGGGAUAACAGGCUUAUCUCCCCCAAGAGUCCACAUCGACGGGGAGGUUUGGCACCUCGAUGUCGGCUCAUCACAUCCUGGGGCUGUAGUAGGUCCCAAGGGUUGGGCUGUUCGCCCAUUAAAGUGGUACGCGAGCUGGGUUCAGAACGUCGUGAGACAGUUCGGUCCCUAUCCGUCGCAGGCGUAGGAAAUUUGAGAAGACCUGUCCUUAGUACGAGAGGACCGGGAUGGACGUACCUCUGGUGUACCAGUUGUCCUGCCAAGGGCAUGGCUGGGUAGCUAUGUACGGAAUGGAUAAGCGCUGAAAGCAUCUAAGCGCGAAGCCAACUUCAAGAUAAGAUUUCCCACCGCAAGGGUAAGACCCCAGAAAGACUAUCUGGUUGAUAGGUCGAAGGUGUAAGUGCAGCAAUGUAUUUAGCUUAUCGAUACUAAUAGGUCGAGGACUUGACC